AUUGCUAUCGGAGUCCGAUUUAGCCAUGCUAGUUGCACGAGUUCACACUCGUAGCAUAUAGCUCAGUAACACGUGGUCAAGCUACCCUGCAGACACGGACAACCUCGGGAAACUGAGGCUAAUCCGCGAUACCGAUCCCACGCUGGAAUGCCGGGAUCCACAAACGCUCCGGCGCUGCAGGAUGCGGCUGCGGCCGAUUAGGUAGRCGGUGGGGUAACGGCCCACCGUGCCGAUAAUCGGUACGGGUUGUGAGAGCAAGAGCCCGGAGACGGAAUCUGAGACAAGAUUCCGGGCCCUACGGGGCGCAGCAGGCGCGAAACCUUUACACUGCACGCAAGUGCGAUAAGGGGACUCCGAGUGCGAGGGCAUAUAGUCCUCGCUUUUGAGAACCGUAAGGCGGUUCUCGAAUAAGAGCUGGGCAAGACCGGUGCCAGCCGCCGCGGUAAUACCGGCAGCUCAAGUGAUGGCCAAUCUUAUUGGGCCUAAAGCGUCCGUAGCU
RNAcentral lists this ribosomal RNA (499 nucleotides) under Halogeometricum borinquense. RNAcentral's name for it is "bacterial SSU rRNA". It matches the Rfam family "Archaeal small subunit ribosomal RNA", at positions 26 to 526 of the family's 1478-position model. The record is from RNAcentral. Lineage: Archaea; Methanobacteriati; Methanobacteriota; Halobacteria; Halobacteriales; Haloferacaceae.